Molecule: long non-coding RNA, 246 nt
Filed under: Lathyrus oleraceus (garden pea)
Lineage: Eukaryota; Viridiplantae; Streptophyta; Magnoliopsida; Fabales; Fabaceae
Description: Pisum sativum (pea) long non-coding RNA (PSAT_LNC019007)
Source: RNAcentral
GACAUAUGCUCACACUCUAAGCCAUAAAACAGUCCAUUCACCAACACAUGCAUAAUAUAUACAUUCACAACAUUAUGCAUAUUUUCACACAUCAUCAGCACAUGUAUCAAACGUCAUAUCAUGUCAAAUAAUUAAUCACAGUAUUAGCACACUCCACUAAUACCUAUACUACUCAAAACAGCGGGAAUUAAUCCCUAUUACAUCAUACGCCAAUAUAGGCCAAACACCAAUUAUGCACACAUUAUU